GCCGGCUCCAGCGCCGUGCCAAGGGCUGCUGUGCUGCCGGGGCCCGGCUGCAGCCGCAGGGAGCGGCCCGAGCUGCAACAGCGGCUCUGGGCCGGCAGGGCCGCAGCAGCAGCAGCAGCAGCAGCAGCAGCAGGAGGAGGAGGAGGCGGCAGUUCCCGGGCCCGGGAUGAGCGCUGGCAUGUAUUAUCUGAGCGGAGCUGAUGUCUCUGACCGCUUUAGCUCUAGAAUUACUCUGAGGCCCGGGAAGGCCCCGCUGGCCGUGGCAGUGGAGCUUUUGGCGGCGCUGGGAUGGAGUGGCCACGGCAGAGUGUUGCUCCGCUUGAGCCUGGGACCUUGUGGCCAGCCCAGAGUUGUGAUGGAGCGUUUUGGAGCGUCCCCAGGGCUGCAGGUCGGAACCUGGGCUGCGACAGGUGAGGUUUUGGGUUGAGCCGGGUGCUGCAGAUCCCGGUGGGAUGUGACAGGUGAGGUUUUGGGUUGAGCCGGGUGCUGCAGAUUCGGGUGGGAUGUGACAGGUGAGGUUUUGGGUUGAGCCAGGUGCUGCCAAGGUGCUGGGCCCUGCCAGAGGUUUGGGUGUGCAGGCAGAUGGAUGUGCAGCCCCUGGGAAGCUCUUGCUGGCUGUUUGCUCAGGGACACACUGUUGCCCUGAGAAUUCAACCUUCUGAUCUCGUUUUCAUAUUUUCUAGGUACUUUCCCAGAAAAGUAACUACAAACAUAGAUGUUUAUAUAUGCUAUUAAAGAAAUGUCUUUUGAUGGACAUUUCUCAGGACCAGUGUGGUUGGGACGGUGGUAACCUAACCAUCCAAUCCCUGGUUGUUGUCAGGAAUCUAUAAAUACUGAAACCACAGAAUAAAUCACUCUCUUUUUCCUAUCA
This 871-nucleotide long non-coding RNA is filed under the name Cyanistes caeruleus (blue tit). RNAcentral describes it as "lncRNA (ENSCCEG00000005410.1)". The stretch from base 159 to 242 matches the Rfam family "Small nucleolar RNA SNORD45". The record is from RNAcentral. Lineage: Eukaryota; Metazoa; Chordata; Aves; Passeriformes; Paridae.